This 495-nucleotide ribosomal RNA is filed under the name uncultured bacterium. RNAcentral describes it as "bacterial SSU rRNA". It matches the Rfam family "Bacterial small subunit ribosomal RNA", at positions 15 to 507 of the family's 1533-position model. The record is from RNAcentral.
GAUCCUGGCUCAGAUUGAACGCUGGCGGAAUGCUUUACACAUGCAAGUCGAACGGGUAGAGGGGGGCAACCCCUCGAGAGUGGCGAACGGGUGAGUAAUAUAUCGGAACGUGCCCAGUCGUGGGGGAUAACGUAGCGAAAGUUACGCUAAUACCGCAUACGAUCUACGGAUGAAAGCGGGGGAUCGCAAGACCUCGCGCGAUUGGAGCGGCCGAUAUCAGAUUAGGUAGUUGGUGGGGUAAAGGCUCACCAAGCCAACGAUCUGUAGCUGGUCUGAGAGGACGACCAGCCACACUGGAACUGAGACACGGUCCAGACUCCUACGGGAGGCAGCAGUGGGGAAUUUUGGACAAUGGACGCAAGUCUGAUCCAGCCAUUCCGCGUGCAGGAUGAAGGCCCUCGGGUUGUAAACUGCUUUUGUACGGAACGAAAAGGUUUCCAUUAAUACUGGGAGCUCAUGACGGUACCGUAAGAAUAAGCACCGGCUAACUACGUG